Molecule: ribosomal RNA, 421 nt
Filed under: uncultured Methanobacteriales archaeon
Lineage: Archaea; Methanobacteriati; Methanobacteriota; Methanobacteria; Methanobacteriales
Description: partial 16S ribosomal RNA
Rfam family: Archaeal small subunit ribosomal RNA
Source: RNAcentral
GCGCAGCAGUCGCGAAAACUCCGCAAUGCGCGAAGGCGUGACGGGGGGACCCCAAGUGCCGCUGGUCUUUUGAUCGGCGGCUUUUCGGGAGUGUAAGAAGUUCCCGGAAUAAGGGCUGGGUAAGUCUGGUGCCAGCCGCCGCGGUAAUACCAGCAGCCCAAGUGGUGGUCGCGAUUAUUGGGCCUAAAGCGCUCGUAGCCGGGUCAGCAAGUCCCUUGUGAAAUCGGGCGGCCCAACCGUUCGGCUUGCAAGGGAUGCUGCUGGCCUAGAGGCCGGGAGACGUCUGAGGUACUCCGGGGGUAGCGGUGAAAUCCUAUAAUCCUAGGGGGACCACCAGUGGCGAAGGCGUUCUGCGAGAACGGGCUCGACGGUGGGGGACGAAAGCCGGGGGCGCAAACGGGAUUAGAUACCCCGGUAGUCC